This 359-nucleotide transfer RNA is filed under the name Microcystis sp. EG44. RNAcentral describes it as "16S-23S ribosomal RNA intergenic spacer". The stretch from base 135 to 208 matches the Rfam family "tRNA". The record is from RNAcentral. Lineage: Bacteria; Bacillati; Cyanobacteriota; Cyanophyceae; Chroococcales; Microcystaceae.
AAGGGAGACCUAAUUCAGGUAGGCGACGAAAAAAAAGUAGUCGCUACCAAGAAUCAAUCCCAAAAGGUCGGAGCGAGGCAAGAUUGGCUUUCAAACUAGGUUCUGGGUUCACACAAGACCUGAAUCAGGAACAAGGGCUAUUAGCUCAGGUGGUUAGAGCGCACCCCUGAUAAGGGUGAGGUCCCUGGUUCGAGUCCAGGAUGGCCCACCUGCACAGGUGGAAAAAAGAAAAGAAGCUCCGAAUCAGCACCUUAUCUUACUUAUAUAGUAAGAGAGAAUGCUGGCUCUGAGUUCAGAGUCCAGAGGAACCUUGAAAACUGCAUAGAGCUAGGUGAAAAAGCCAAAAAAGAAGACCGCAA